Molecule: ribosomal RNA, 478 nt
Filed under: uncultured bacterium
Lineage: Bacteria
Description: partial 16S ribosomal RNA
Rfam family: Bacterial small subunit ribosomal RNA
Source: RNAcentral
GAUGAACGCUGGCGGCGUGCUUAACACAUGCAAGUCGAACGAGAAAUGGAGACGGAAACCUUCGGGCGGAAGGCUUCAUUUCGAGUGGCGGACGGGUGAGUAACGCGUGGGUAACCUGCCUCAUACAGGGGGAUAACAGUUGGAAACGACUGUUAAUACCGCAUAAGACCACAGCACCGCAUGGUGCGGGGGUAAAAACUCCGGUGGUAUGAGAUGGACCCGCGUUCGAUUAGCCAGUUGGCGGGGUAACGGCCCACCAAAGCGACGAUCGAUAGCCGAUCUGAGAGGAUGACCGGCCACAUUGGGACUGAGACACGGCCCAAACUCCUACGGGAGGCAGCAGUGGGGAAUAUUGCACAAUGGGGGAAACCCUGAUGCAGCGACGCCGCGUGAGUGAAGAAGUACUUCGAUAUGUAAAGCUCUAUCAGCAGGGAAGAAAAUGACGGUACCUGAGUAAGAAGCCCCGGCUAACUACGUG